UCGUAAAACCGAGGUGCGAGGGCUGUCGCUGACCUUUCGGUCGUGCACGCCCGAGCGCUCUCACACAAUCCAUCUCACCCCUUUGUGCACCACCGCGUGGGUCCCUCUCUGGGUUCGUCCCGAGGGUGGCUUGCGUUUUCACACAAACUUGAAGUAGUGUAGAAUGUCUCUUUUUUGCGAUAACACGCAAUCAAUA
This 196-nucleotide unclassified non-coding RNA is filed under the name uncultured Russula. Its description in RNAcentral is "sequence contains ITS1". Lineage: Eukaryota; Fungi; Basidiomycota; Agaricomycetes; Russulales; Russulaceae. The record is from RNAcentral.